AUACGUAGGGAGCAAGCGUUGUCCGGAUUUACUGGGUGUAAAGGGUGCGUAGGCGGCUUUGCAAGUCAGAUGUGAAAUCUAUGGGCUCAACCCAUAAACUGCAUUUGAAACUGUAGAGCUUGAGUGAAGUAGAGGCAGGCGGAAUUCCCCGUGUAGCGGUGAAAUGCGUAGAGAUGGGGAGGAACACCAGUGGCGAAGGCGGCCUGCUGGGCUUUAACUGACGCUGAGGCACGAAAGCGUGGGUAGC
Molecule: ribosomal RNA, 247 nt
Filed under: uncultured bacterium
Lineage: Bacteria
Description: partial 16S ribosomal RNA
Rfam family: Bacterial small subunit ribosomal RNA
Source: RNAcentral